This 4572-nucleotide long non-coding RNA is filed under the name Nicotiana benthamiana. RNAcentral's name for it is "long non-coding RNA (NBEN_LNC018224)". The record is from RNAcentral. Lineage: Eukaryota; Viridiplantae; Streptophyta; Magnoliopsida; Solanales; Solanaceae.
CGGUGUCUCCCCAUAGAACUUUAUUGAUAAACACCGGAGAAAUUACUAAAAAGUUGAUUCCUUCACCCAGAUGCUUCAUUGCUUUUGUUGCCAACUUGUCUGUCACUCUAUUUGCCUCUAUGAAUGUGUGAUUUGCUUGUGGAAGGCCCAGCGCUGCUAGGAGAGAUCUGCAUUCACAAAUCAAAGAAUCAUAUAUCAGAUUAACUUUCUUUAUGCAUUGUAUUACUUCUAUCGAGUCCACAGUGGCCUUCAAGGGCAUUAGAUUGUUUGGUGAUGCCAUUUUCUGGCCCAGCAAAAAAGCUAUUAGCUCAUAACAGAGUGUAUUUCUGCACUUGACUUUCCUCAUAUACCCCGUUACCCAAUUUUCAUUGUUGUUUCUAAUUAUUCCUCUUAUUCUCCCAUUUUUAUUUUUUUAUUGAAAGCAUCAUCAAUGUUUAGCUUGUAACAACCACGAUCUAGGGUUUCCAUUUAACAAACAUGAGGGCACUAAGUUUGUGGUCUUUUCCUCCUAUUGCUAUGUGCAAGAAUUCUGCAGCCUUAUUAAUGGCCACUUUAAAAGGGACAUGACGUUCCUAUGAUUGAAGCUAUUUGUGUUCACGGUUAACCAAACUUGCCAAAUGCAGAAAGGGAUUAGGUGGACCCACUUAAUAAAUCCAUUCAAUGGUUGGUGUUUAACCUUGUUAACAGUGUAUAUCCAGUUUGCUUGGCUUGUGACCAGUUUUGGAAUAUUAAGGUUGAAAAGGCUUAGCUCAUCUAGCUUCUUCCUGCACUGGGUAGCAUUAUCACACUUAAAGACCAUGUGUUCUAUUCUUUCUUCCUCCUUGUCACCGAAGAAACAUAUGGGGUUUAGGUUCAUACCCCUUGAGUGGAGGUAUUGAGUUGUAGGUAGUCUGGCUUGAGUUGCUAACCAAAGGAAAUAUUUAACCUUAUUGGGCAGCUUUUGGCCUCAUGCCUAAUUGAAGUCUUUACCAGGAUUAUGGACCUGAUAAUAGUUCAGCCUUCCAAUGAGGGUACAGACUGUUUUGGUAGAGAAGAGGCCACUAUCAGUAAGGUUCCAAACCAUCUUAUUCAUAUUGGCAGAUUUGGGGUUAACAAAGAUAGACAUUAUAGUAAAUACAACAUUCUUGGGGAGGUUAAAUGAGAUAUAAAUGAUGUCCCAGUGAUCCUCAUUAUAGAAAGUGACUACUUUCAAACUCUCAUCCCCUUGGGUGAGGGGGCAACUAAUAAGGGUUAUAAGGAACUCCAUACCAGGGAUCCAUCUGUCACCAUAAAAAUUGAUUCUAUCCCCCUUAUUUACUAUCCACCUAGUGGCCUUACUACAGACUUCCCAUCCAUUUUAUUUAUAUUUUUCCAAGUCCUAGAUGCAAUAUGCCUUGAAUGGUUUAUGCUAGUACAGUGCUUGUGGAAUAGCACCCUGAUCCACAUGGCAUUUGUAGUCUUGCACAUCCUCUAGGACAGGCUAGUGUGAGUGGCAAUAUUUUUGUUUUCAGGUGUCUGCACAGCCAACCCCGUCCCCUUAGGUUCACAGAUUUUCACCCAACUAGGUGCAUUUUCCUUUUAGCUAUAGUAGUACCCCAUACAAAGUUCUUCUGAAUUAUGUCAAUUCGGUUGCAUACCUGGGCUGGGAGCUUUAUGUAUUUCAUAACAUGGAUAGGGAUGAACCCAAGGGAGGAUUUAGCUAGUAUGGUUCUCCCAGCCAUAUUCAUGAACUUGGUUUUCCAGCCUGCCAGCUUAGUUGUUAUCAAUUAUAAAUGGGUAGUCUCUAUUGGUGGUUCUUUUGUGGAAGAUGUGUGAAAACUUAGGUACUUGCCAAAAUAUAGCCUAGGCUUAGUUGUAAGAAAUAUGGCAAGUCUAUAUACUUUCUAUUGGUUACAGUUUGUGGAGAAGAUAAUUUUGGAUUUGAAGUUAUUAAUCUUUUGGCGUGAUUUACAACUAAACACCUAGAGAGUUUCUGUGAUGAUAUUACAAUUCUUGGUGUUUGCUCUAGCAAAGAGGUGAAGGUCAUCUGCAAAGAAGAUGUAGGAAAUUUUUGGUCCAGUUUAGCUGGUUUUUAUAAGAAACCAUUUCUCAUUUUGCACUUUAGCAUCAAUGCUUCUAGAGAGUCUAUUCCUACAGAUUAUGAAGAUGUAGAGAGAUGUAGGAUUUUUCUGUCUGAUGCCCCUACUAGGUUUCAAACAAUCAGUCCUUCUCUCAUUGACAGCACUGAGAUAGAUAAGGUUGAGAUACAUGACAUAAUCUGCUUAGUGGUGGUGCUAGGUAAACCAAAGGAAAACAAUGUGUCUUCGAUGAAGGAUCAUCCUAACAUAUCAAAAUUCUUUUCUAGGUAAAUCUUUAGAAUUAUGUUGGAAAUCAUACCUUUCAUUUUAUUAAAGUGAUUAAUAUAUUCUUGCACAAUAACAGCAUUGUCACAUACCCCCAUGUUUGAUAUGAAACUAGCUUGGCUAGGCCCUAUGAUGCAGGACAAUAUAGGCUUGGCACAUUUAUGAAUCAGGUACAUAUGGGUAGUGUUGACUUCAGGGUUCAUUUCAAGUUUGUUGAAUACUUGCGUACAAAAGUUGGUUACUUUUUCCUCAAGAACAUUUCAGUACUUUUGGUAGAACAUUGGGUGUAUGCCAUCAUGCCCAUGGGCAUUGGAGGGUUUGAAUGUGAAUAAAUCAGUCUUUAUCUCGCUAUUCCUCAUAUGUGUACUGAGUAUGUUAUAAUCUUUGUGGGAAAGGGUGUGAGAUAUAUGAGGGGUAGUAUCUCUACACUUCGUGGAGGAUUGGUGAUAAGUGGUGAAUAUGGAUGAGUAAAACUUGAAAAUAGUGUCUUCAAUUCCUUUAUGAUCAUCCACCCAUUUCUCUUUCUCAUUUUGGAGGGCCGGAAUUCUAUUCUUCUUCUCCUGUUGAGGGUAGAAACAUGAAAGAAUUUAGUGUUGGCAUCCCUCUCUAUAAGCCAAUUUAUCCUAGACUUAGUUUUCCAUAAUUCAUCUUCACUUCUCAGAAUAGCUAAAUAGUUUUCCUACAGAUGACCUUCUAAUUGCUGGAGGUAAGGGUUAAAAGGGUAGGCACUAGAUUUUUGGAAACCUCCUAGCUUGGCUAGUAGAUAUUUCUUCUUGUGGAAGAUGCUACCAAAGACUGUCAUGUUCCAGAGGUAACUUGGUGUUAGAAUUUGGUAGUUCCCUCUAGGAAGCUACAAUUUCUCUUAUAGGUUUGUUGCACCACAUUAGUAAGGGAGUGUUGGCUGCACCACAUGGGCUCAAAAAUAAAGGGCUUAGUGGGGAUACUAGGCCUAAAUCAAAGAUUAAUAAGCAUAGAGCAGUGAUCAAAAUGGGUUGUAGGAAAGUGGCUAAAUAGUACUUGAGGGGAAUUCUUCGAUCCAUUCCUCAUUAGAAAAACACCUGUGUAGACUUCUAAGAUUAACUGACUCAUAGUCAUAUAUCUCAUGUUAGACCGGGUGAAUUUGCUACCUUUAAAGCUAAAGUCAAUCAACUUACACUGAUUGUUGCAUUGCCAUAAAAGACUAGCCCUUAGAGUAGAGAUACAGUUCCUCACCCCAUAUUUGUCUCUAGUUCUCAAUACUUCAUUAAAGUCCCCCUACUCUCUAGUCCCCUAUCAGGUAAAGUUUUUUUUAUAUGGUGCUAGAGGUUCCUUCUAAGUGCAUAAGUGUUACUAGCAUAAAUAGCAGUGGAAGACCAGGAAUUGGAUGAGGGAAUAAUUCCAUGGGAUGUGGUGGGGACUUUAUCAACUUUGAGUAGAUCAUCCUUCCACAUGAUGACAAUGCCCCAAAAUAGGGAAAUAGUUGGGUUUUGGAUUUACCCAGAGAAACCCAACUCCUGAAUCAUUUUUUAUGCUCCGUAAUUGAACAGAUAUAGAUUAUACUACGUCUCAAUUAUAUAAAAACAUAACAAGAAUUUAUCCUACAACAGGUUCCAUCAAAACCCUAUAUAAUAAAUUAGCUAUUCAUAAUAGUAUGUAAAACUACAAUACUAAAAGUCAUAACCAACAAUGAAAAAUAGGAAGAGGAAAGAAAAAACUUGUAGAAGAAUUCCCAAGCCUUGCUCUUAUUGUGUCUUUGCCUCAUUAGGUCAAAUCUAUGUCAAAAAUAUGUCCCUUCUUCAAAAAUACCAUUUUUCCAUGUAUAUAUACCAAGUAGGGUCAAGCAUAAACACGUAUACCUUCUCAUACGCAAAAAAGGACAAGUUUGAGGCCUGGAUGGAUGUGGUUCUAGCGCGGUCGCACCUGGACUGCAUCCAGAAUAGCCUGCAGGAUCUGCAGCAGUGUUCUGUCGCAGCCCUAUCGCGGUUACAGUUUAGAUCGCCUUUUUCACCUUGUUACACUUGGAAUUUGGAAAAACGUAAAACAUGAAGGUUUCAUUACUUUGAGUUAUCUUUCCAACCAUAUAUUGUGUAACCUAAAUGGAGUUUGGAGCAAAAUAUUAUGUCCAAUUUACUAGACAGUGCAUAAUAUACCUCAUCGAGUCUUCGUUUGUUCUCAACUAUCAAAUUUGACCCCCGAACAUGAUCCUGGCUUAAUUUCUUGAGCUUUUACUCAGACUUCAAAGCUUCAAAUUACUUAAAUUCAUUCCAUAACA